This 253-nucleotide unclassified non-coding RNA is filed under the name uncultured Micrococcaceae bacterium. RNAcentral describes it as "contains 16S-23S intergenic spacer region". It matches the Rfam family "Bacterial small subunit ribosomal RNA", at positions 524 to 776 of the family's 1533-position model. The record is from RNAcentral. Lineage: Bacteria; Bacillati; Actinomycetota; Actinomycetes; Micrococcales; Micrococcaceae.
UACGGAGGGUGCAAGCGUUACUCGGAAUUAUUGGGCGUAAAGAGCUCGUAGGCGGUUUGUCGCGUCUGCCGUGAAAGUCCGGGGCUCAACCCCGGAUCUGCGGUGGGUACGGGCAGACUAGAGUGCUGUAGGGGAGACUGGAAUUCCUGGUGUAGCGGUGAAAUGCGCAGAUAUCAGGAGGAACACCGAUGGCGAAGGCAGGUCUCUGGGCAGUAACUGACGCUGAGGAGCGAAAGCAUGGGGAGCGAACAGG